RNAcentral lists this ribosomal RNA (493 nucleotides) under Gephyromantis asper. RNAcentral describes it as "partial 12S ribosomal RNA". It matches the Rfam family "Bacterial small subunit ribosomal RNA", at positions 727 to 1521 of the family's 1533-position model. The record is from RNAcentral. Lineage: Eukaryota; Metazoa; Chordata; Amphibia; Anura; Mantellidae.
GCCUUUCAUCAUGGUGUCACUCAGGAAACGCCUGGGGAUUACAAGCGCAAGCUUAAAACCCAAAGGAUUUGACGGUGUCCCACCCGCCUAGAGGAGCCUGUUCUAUAAUCGAUGAUCCACGAUAUACCUCACCACUUUUUGCUCUUUCCAGCCUGUAUACCUCCGUCGACAGCCUACCAUUUGAAUGCUUCAAAGUAGGUUCAACGGGUCUCACCCACCAGCACGUCAGGUCAAGGUGCAGCCCAUAAAGUGGGAAGCAAUGGGCUACAAUUUCUAAGAUAGAACACACGAAAGACUACAUGAAACAUAGUCAUGAAGGCGGAUUUAGUAGUAAAAGAAGAUUAAUAAGCUUCUUUUAACAAGGCUCUGGGACGUGUACAAACCGCCCGUCACCCUCUUCAAUAACAUCUUCUUAGUUUCCUAACAUCUAACUAGUACAAUAGAAGAGGCAAGUCGUAACAUGGUAAGUGUACUGGAAAGUGCACUUGGUAAA